AUACUUUCGAGGUGAUCUGCUAAUGGUUGCAGAGGAAUCUGUAGUUGAUCCUGCAAUGGCAAAGUGCUACAUAUAAAAUCGACGCUCCGCAAAGGCGGUCGGUGGCCAGCAGUUAGUCACGGUUACGAUUGGAUGAAGACCUAACAGCCUGCGAACAACAGCUUGGUGUGCUUUCGCUAGUACAGGAAAAUUAUUUGCAUUUAAAAGGAAUAACGUAGUUGAAAUCGUCAGGGAUGCCACCUACAAGCCAGCAACAGAAAGUUAAAUCUAACAAUCAUGGAAAUUAAUUCGCUAAAAAAAGACCAGAUAUAUUGGCUUCUGGUAAAUCUUCCGGAAUAACUAGCGAAACCCAGAUACGAGCGGGCUCUGAACACGAUUGGCGAAAGGCUUCCCAACGACGGAACGGCUCGAAUUCGUCUUCUGGCGGACCACUCUGAAAAAAAGAAAACAAUUUUGAAAGAAAACAGAACGAUUUUGAAAGUACUUGAAAAGUUCUUAUGUAUGAUGCAGUUUAGCUGCUUGCCAUUUAGAAUCAAAAAACACAAAUGGAUAUGGUUAAUACUGCCUUAGAGUAAUCUAUAACAACAUACAAACUCAAACAGUAGGUACUUACUAGUGGG
Molecule: long non-coding RNA, 620 nt
Organism: Varroa destructor (honeybee mite)
Lineage: Eukaryota; Metazoa; Arthropoda; Arachnida; Mesostigmata; Varroidae
Source: RefSeq, a predicted model, not a curated record